Molecule: small RNA, 27 nt
Filed under: Bombyx mori (domestic silkworm)
Lineage: Eukaryota; Metazoa; Arthropoda; Insecta; Lepidoptera; Bombycidae
Description: ovarian small RNA-15502
Source: RNAcentral
GACCGUUCUCCGCCCGAAGAUGGCCAU